GCAGACACAUUCCAGCCAAUCAGCAGCAGACCCUCCCUACCAGACCCUCCCACCUCCUGGACAGCAUCCAUUUUAUAUUCAUUGUGAAGCUGCAUUCUUAGUGAGCUGUCCAGGAGGUGGGAGGGUCUGGGAGGGAGGGUCUGCUGCUGAUUGGCUGGAAUGUGUCUG
Molecule: microRNA precursor, 168 nt
Filed under: Pelobates cultripes (western spadefoot toad)
Lineage: Eukaryota; Metazoa; Chordata; Amphibia; Anura; Pelobatidae
Source: RNAcentral